RNAcentral lists this transfer RNA (62 nucleotides) under Trichobilharzia szidati. Its description in RNAcentral is "tRNA-Ser". Lineage: Eukaryota; Metazoa; Platyhelminthes; Trematoda; Strigeidida; Schistosomatidae. The record is from RNAcentral.
GAAGGUAAUUUGGGUUGUCGCUGCUAACGAUGAAUUGAAUAAUUUGUAUUAUUCUACUUUCU